This is a long non-coding RNA of Ictalurus punctatus (channel catfish), 1466 nucleotides long. Lineage: Eukaryota; Metazoa; Chordata; Actinopteri; Siluriformes; Ictaluridae. The record is from Ensembl.
AUCAAGUUGAUAUAUUAUCAUAUUGGACUAAUGUUGGACACUGCCUGCCUGUGUGAUGAUGUGAUUAUGAUAAAUCACCAGAACACGGUAUGGAAGGGGCGCUGUUACCCUGCGCAUUAACUAGCGAUUAUACCCUACGCAUUAGCUAGCGAUUAUACCCUACGCAUAACCGUGUCCUCAUCAUAUGCUGAAAAAAACAGUUGAAAAAGACCUAAAUUAUCAAGUGCACGAGGCAGGAAGCGGCGUAAAGGAGAGGAGCAGAAAAAAAAGAGUAAUAUAGAGAUGAGGACUCGCUCGAGCUUCACAUGGUGCGGCUAGAACUGGAGGAUUUGGAGAAGCAGAUCCGUGGCCUACUCAACAAGCAGGCCCAGCUGCUGGAGCGACAAACUGAGCUGGAAACAUCUUGUGCCUCUGCCCACAUAUCCAAGGUAAGCACACAGCAUGGUAUUUUCACUCCCAGGCCCUCUACGUCGUGUGUUUUUGUGCAGGGACCGUGCACCUAGGACUUUCCCAGCCGUGGUCUCCGUCACGCCGCCGCCAACACUCCUCAGGCCUUGGGUGAACCAGUGGCGGAAGGCGCGGGCUGGACCACAGGUGAGGAGCUCUCCACCUCCGGUGUUCGAGAUUCCAACCGGGAACCGCUUCGCCCCUCUCCGUCAGACCAGACCUAACGCUGUGAUCGUCGGGGACUCCAUUGUGCGGAACGUCCGUGUAGCCUCAUCUAAAGGUGAUGACUUUUGAUGAAAAGUGAGUUUCUAGACAUAAAAUGUCACUUUUUUCACCUUAUCACACUUUAACAUCAACUUUUACAUUUUAAUGUAAACAAUCAUAUUUCCUAAUAUUUUUGGUCAGAAACAAUUCAAAGUACUAUAUUAUGUGUAACUAUGUGAAAAAUAUCAUAUUGGAGUAGGUCGGGCAAUUGAUUAUAUGAGUUUAUUAGAAAAACCACUUUCCUUUGCUCCUAGUGCCUUCUCGUUCGCUGUAUAGCGUUUUGAGCGGAGAAAGAGCACAAGUGUGUAUGGACAUACAGCAUAAAUGGGAACAAGUUUUGUUAUGGUACUUUUGAUGAAAAGUGACUUUCUACACUUCAAAUGUCACUUUUUUCAUCUUAUCGUACUUUAUCAUCAAGUUUUACAUUUUAAUGUAAACAAUCAUAUUUCGUAAUAUUUUAGGUCAGAAACAGUUCAUAGUACUAUAUUAUGCGUAACUAUGUGAAAAGAAUCAUAUUGGAGUAGGUCGGGCAACUGAUUAUAUGAGUUUGUUAGAAAAACCACUUUCCUUUGCUCCUAGCGCCUUCUCGUUCGCUGUAUAGCCGUUUGAGCGGAUAAAGAGCACAAGUGUGUAAGGGGACACAGGAUGAAUGCAAACUAGUUUUGUUAUGCCACUUUUGAUGAAAAGUGACUGUCUAGACAUAAAAUGUCACUUUUUUCACCUUAUCAUACUUUUUCAUCAACUUUUGCAUUUUA